AUUGAACGCUGGCGGCAGGCCUAACACAUGCAAGUCGAGCGGAUGAAGGGAGCUUGCUCCUGGAUUCAGCGGCGGACGGGUGAGUAAUGCCUAGGAAUCUGCCUGGUAGUGGGGGAUAACGUCCGGAAACGGGCGCUAAUACCGCAUACGUCCUGAGGGAGAAAGUGGGGGAUCUUCGGACCUCACGCUAUCAGAUGAGCCUAGGUCGGAUUAGCUAGUUGGUGGGGUAAAGGCCUACCAAGGCGACGAUCCGUAACUGGUCUGAGAGGAUGAUCAGUCACACUGGAACUGAGACACGGUCCAGGCUCCUACGGGAGGCAGCAGUGGGGAAUAUUGGACAAUGGGCGAAAGCCUGAUCCAGCCACGCCGCGUGUGUGAAGAAGGUCUUCGGAUUGUAAAGCACUUUAAGUUGGGAGGAAGGGCAGUAAGUUAAUACCUUGCUGUUUUGACGUUACCAACAGAAUAAGCACCGGCUAACUUCGUG
RNAcentral lists this ribosomal RNA (484 nucleotides) under uncultured bacterium. RNAcentral describes it as "partial 16S ribosomal RNA". It matches the Rfam family "Bacterial small subunit ribosomal RNA", at positions 30 to 507 of the family's 1533-position model. The record is from RNAcentral.